RNAcentral lists this ribosomal RNA (770 nucleotides) under uncultured bacterium. Its description in RNAcentral is "bacterial SSU rRNA". It matches the Rfam family "Bacterial small subunit ribosomal RNA", at positions 8 to 796 of the family's 1533-position model. The record is from RNAcentral.
AGAGUUUGAUCCUGGCUCAGGACGAACGCUGGCGGCGUGCUUAACACAUGCAAGUCGAACGGAAAGGCCCUUCGGGGUACUCGAGUGGCGAACGGGUGAGUAACACGUGGGUGAUCUGCCCUGCACUUUGGGAUAAGCCUGGGAAACUGGGUCUAAUACCGAAUAUGACCAUGCACUUCCUGGUGUGUGGUGGAAAGCUUUUGCGGUGUGGGAUGGGCCCGCGGCCUAUCAGCUUGUUGGUGGGGUAUGGCCUAUCAAGGCGACGACGGGUAGCCGGCCUGAGAGGGUGACCGGCCACACUGGGACUGAGAUACGGCCCAGACUCCUACGGGAGGCAGCAGUGGGGAAUAUUGCACAAUGGGCGCAAGCCUGAUGCAGCGACGCCGCGUGAGGGAUGACGGCCUUCGGGUUGUAAACCUCUUUCAAUAGGGACGAAGCGCAAGUGACGGUACCUAUAGAAGAAGGACCGGCCAACUACGUGCCAGCAGCCGCGGUAAUACGUAGGGUCCGAGCGUUGUCCGGAAUUACUGGGCGUAAAGAGCUCGUAGGUGGUUUGUCGCGUUGUUCGUGAAAACUCACAGCUUAACUGUGGGCGUGCGGGCGAUACGGGCAGACUAGAGUACUGCAGGGGAGACUGGAAUUCCUGGUGUAGCGGUGGAAUGCGCAGAUAUCAGGAGGAACACCGGUGGCGAAGGCGGGUCUCUGGGCAGUAACUGACGCUGAGGAGCGAAAGCGUGGGGAGCGAACAGGAUUAGAUACCCCGGUAGUCC